Non-coding RNA from Phalacrocorax carbo (great cormorant), 3097 nucleotides. NCBI's taxonomy places the organism in Eukaryota, Metazoa, Chordata, Aves, Suliformes, Phalacrocoracidae. The record is from RefSeq and is a predicted model, not a curated record.
AGCGUGGCGGCGCGCCGGGCGGGGUUCCUGGCGGCGGGUAAGGGCCGGGGUCGCCGGUGGGGCGAGCGAGCUCUUUUGGUGGGUGCAGGGGUGUCUCCUGUCCGCUGGCUGUCUGGGGGUGGAGGAUGGGAAGCUUCAAACCACCCGCCGAGGCAGGCUCCUAGUUUGCGGAAGGCGAGCGGGUCAGGGCAGUCCCAGGAGUUACCCGGGAGCUGACAGAAGGGAAGAGGGAAAGGAGGAGGACCUCUUCCCCCUGCCCAGGGCGCAGACGAUGGCCGCCGCCUCCCCGGCUCACCGGAGCUCCCGCUCAGCCUCCCCUGGCCCCCCCCUUGCCCCGUGCGCCUGCCCCCAGCCCCGGCACCUCCCCUGAAGCGUGCUGCGUAGCCCUUGGCCGCCCCCAGGCCCUGUCGUGAAGGCAGCGAGCCGGCCCUCGAGCGCACUGGAUUCCCCCUCGGCGCAGGGGCCCUUAGCAGUAGCGCGGGGAAGGGGCGGUGUGUCCAGAAGCCCCUGCGCAAGGAGGGGCUUUGGCCAGGGUCGAUCGACGGUAAUGACGGUCGCUGUUUCUUCUUUCCCUCUCGCAGAGACCGUGCUGAGGACGUGGUUGUCUGUCCUUCCCCCGGGGAUGCCGUUGACUGCAGCCGUCUCAGGCUUGCGUGGCUUCUCUCUGCCCGGCGUUGCCAUCCUCGCAGCGCGGGGGCGAAAAGGGACACACAGAGCCCUUCCCGGCUGUGGACAGGAGCUGCCUCGGCUGAAGCUGGAGACGCCAACGAAAGGUAAAGCAGAAGAAACUGAAGGCGCUCUGGCUGCCAGCUGCCUUCCUGCCGCAGGCGAGAGAGAGCCUGUCCCUGCAGGUGGAGGACGGCCUAGAGUCUGGAGCUGCAGAAGAGGCAGGGCGGAGAGGAGGGGAAAGAAGCAUCUGAACGGCUAAAUUGUGCCAGCAGCGCUGAGAGCGAGAGUCGCGCCUGUGGCUACUUUUUCUUUCUCCGCCUCUCUCUGCCUGGCUCUGGCUCCGUUUUUAUUUUUUUAUUCCUCCUGCUCUGUCCUGUAGCCUGUCGGUAUUUUGUCUUUCUCUGGCCCUCUUGGUCUGACUCCGUGUGUUACCGAAAAACGCGGUAAAAUCGGAAACAACUCCUCAACGCCGAUUUAGUAUUAAAGAGCAGGCGUUCUUUAUUCACGGCACCAGAUGCACGGGGGAUCGCUCCUCCUGGCGUGCGUCCCUCACACACCUUUCCCGUAGAAUUUGUAGAUCAAAAUUUUACGUAUUCAUACAUAUUCAUUAUCGUCCUGUCUACUGAUCGGUACAAACUGGCUCGUUCCGUAUGUAAAUCACUGCGCAGGCUCGGUGGUGGUCCGUGAGUCGGUGGUCGCGAUCUCCCCCUGCCAGAAUUGCCUUUUACCUUCUUGGCUCUUAAUCUUGGCGGUCUUGGCUAGUUUUCUCAGUGCGCUACACGAAACCGCGUUUUGUCAUCCUUUUCUGACAGAAGCACGUUGUCUGUUGUUCUGCUGACAUUAACGAUCGCCUAGGGACUAAAAUGCAGAUCGACAGAUGCGCUGAUUCGUACGCUCCGUGUUCCCGUAAUGGAACACCGUCUCUGGUUGGUUGAUUUCAUCGCUUUGGUUACACCUGUUCCUGUUGUUCAGUUUCUUCUUUUUUGGCUUUGUUUGAUUCUCUCUGUGAUUCUGUUUUUCUCUGCCUCGCUUUUCCCAGCUCCCCGUCCCUCACUUUGAAUACCCGUUAUCCUUCACCAGCUCACUCUCCCUUGGUUGCCAUCCCCGUUUCUGAGUUCCUCCUGCUUUGCCACGUAGCCCGUGACUUUUUUCUUAAUCUCUCUCUGUCUGCCUCAACGCUCCCGCCGCGCUUUUUAGUUCGUCUGCUCUGCUCUGUACCCUGCUACUGUUACUUGCCUGCCUGAGUUCUUCUCUGUCCAGCUCCCUUUUCCUAUUCAUGAAUUCCUGUUCUUCCUGCACCCGCCGCUGUUCCCUGUGAUCUCCGUCUCCCUCUGUCCAGCUCCCUGUCCCUAGGUUUUCAUUCCUGCCUCUGCCCGCUGUAGCCCGUCUAGAUUUUUCUCUCGGCCUCUCUCUCUGUCCGGCUCCCCCUCUCUGUGUUCUAAUUCCACGUUCUCUGUCACGUAGACCCGUGCUAUUUGUUUGUCCUCAUCUCUCUCUGUCCAGCUCCUUGCUGCUAUGUUUUAUUUCUUCCCUCUCUGUCUGUCUUUGUAGCCCAUUGCCGUUGUGGUUUUUUUUUUUUUUUUCCUACUUGUUUCUUCAUGUGUCUCUGUCUGCCUCCCAGUGCCUGAUCUUUAAUUCCUCCUUCCCUGUAGGCCGCUGUUCCUUUUUUCCAUUCUACAUUGUGUUCUCUUUGGUCUCCUGUUCUUAUUCAUCGAUUCCCUCCUCGCCGCCCUGUGGCCUGUCCCCAUUUUAUUGUUGCGCCUCUCUCCCUCUCUCUGGCUUCUUGCCCCUGUUUUGAAAAUUCCUCCCUCUCUUCUCUCUUCCCUGUUGGCCGUGUGAUCUUCAGCCUUUCUCCAUCUCUUUCUGCCCAGCUCUCUGUGUCUAUUCAUUAAUUCUUCCCUCUCUGCCCUGUAGCCUGUAGCUUUUGUCCUUUCUCCAUCUUGCUGUCUCUGGCUUCCCCAUGACCCUGUUUUAGAAUUGUUUCUCUCUCCUUUCUGUACGCAUUGCGAUUCCUUUUGCUCCCCAUCUCCCUUUGUUUUGGGUGUUUUUUUUUGUUGUUGUUUCUCUGGCUCCCUGUCCCUAAUUGUUAAUUCUCUGCCUUCUCAUGCUCUGUACCACGUAGCCCCAUGGUUUGUUUUGUGGUGUUCCCUCCCCGGCCCCUUCCCUCCGUUGUUGGCUGUCUUGGCUCCCUGUCCCCGUGGCUUCAUUCUUCCCUCUCUGCCCUGUUCUUGUCGCUUGUCUUGUCUGUCUCCAUCGCGCUCGGUCCAGCUUCCUGCCCCUAUUCUUCUUUCCUCCCUCGCUGUCGUGCUGCCUGCCCCAGGUUCUCUGUGCGUCUCCAGCCUGCUCCUCUUCCUUCUUUGUUGGUCUGUGUCCUGCUCUUCCCCUCUCUCUGCUGCCUCUCUUCCCCUCUCUCUGCUGCCUCUCUUCC